CGCGCUGAUUUCCCCCCUCCAAAGUCCGCCGAUGCCGCCGCCGAUGCCGCCGCCGCCGCUGCUGCUGCCGCUUCUGCUCGAGACAAUUCAAGAUGGCGAACGGAUCCGCAACAAGACAAGGAUUCUUUUACUUCCGGCUGAUCAGCACCUUAAAGCCCAGUGGACACCGGCCUAAUUACUGUUCUCAUUCUGUCCUUUCACGAUCCCAUAUGGUAAAACAUCAAAAAAAGAGGCAUUAUUCAGUCACAGCGAGCUCCUAUCGUUGCAUCUUCUGCUUCCGUGGCUGUUGUAUGGGAACCCGAUCUGCCUCUCCCAAUCAGAGAAGACAUUGAAGAAAGCGGUUUGGGACCUUCAAGGUCGCAGCAAUGGAAAAUGACAACACAUACAUCAUCAAACGUUGACAGUUCACACUUGUGUUGUGUGGGAAGAUAUCAGCAUCUUCCUAAUCCUUGUAACGUGCCUGACAUAAUGUACAGCUGUUCUGUGGCGUGUGGAGUAUGUGGAGUGUUGUAUUUGUGUUUGUUUGUCCAUCUGUUUGCUAGUUAGCAGGCUACUACCCGGUUCAGCGAGGAUGAAAAGCAAUGUGACAGACAGUGCCAUUAUGAUUCUGAGGGUCGAUGGUUUUAUUGAUACCAUUGUGACUGAAAUUAUUAUAAUAGAUCCCUGUAUCUACCACUUAUCCUUACCAAAAUGUGAUGGGAUAGUCCUUGUGUAAAUUUGUUGCAUAGUCCUGCUAACUGUAUACAGUAUGUCUGACUGUUUUUAUGUCAAAAUGUGUCGUGCCCUAAUACUUUUGCAUGUGUGGGGUAUUUUAAUAUAACUUAAAUAAUAUAACUUAAAUACAUCCAAUCCCUGCAGGCAUAUGUUAAGUAUCAAAUGAACAAUAUUUACCUCUUAAAGCUGAUGUAAUUGCAACUAAUUGUUAAGGUUACUUUCUUUUUAAUGAUUUGAGCUCAGUCGUCAGAAUGUCAUCAGGCCCGCUGAAGUAGCAUUAACCUGCAAAUCUUGCUCUUUCAUUCUUGUUCUCUGAAGCAUGUGUCUAUCUCAAGGCUCAGGGGCUAGAUCUGGCCCGCCACAUCAUUCGGAAAUUUUGUGUGUCGACUUUACGUUUCUUACUAAAAUACCACAAAUGCAAAUCGUCUUCACUUUUAAUAAUCUCGAGAUAAUGCAUUUUUUGUUACCAAUGCCGCUUUUAAAAAUAAAUUGAAUAAUAGUUGAACAAGGGCAGGAUGGUAGCCAACUGGUUAGAACAUCCUCCUCACGGUUCAGAGGUUGUGGGUUCAAAUCUGGGCUCUGGCCUUCCUGUGUGGAGUUUGCAUGUUUUCCCAUUGCCUGCAUGGGUUUUCUCCGCGUAUUCCGGUUUCCUCCCACAAACCAAAAACAUGCAUGGUAGGUUAA
Long non-coding RNA from Phyllopteryx taeniolatus (common seadragon), 1398 nucleotides. RefSeq lists it as uncharacterized. The record is from RefSeq and is a predicted model, not a curated record. The transcript has 2 exons. NCBI's taxonomy places the organism in Eukaryota, Metazoa, Chordata, Actinopteri, Syngnathiformes, Syngnathidae.